ACAACAUUUGGACCGUCGGUCUACCGAGCAAUAUCACCCGCUCGGUGGAAGAUCUUCCCUUUGUUGU
This 67-nucleotide microRNA precursor is filed under the name Bombyx mori (domestic silkworm). RNAcentral's name for it is "mir-2774 microRNA precursor family". It matches the Rfam family "mir-2774 microRNA precursor family". Lineage: Eukaryota; Metazoa; Arthropoda; Insecta; Lepidoptera; Bombycidae. The record is from Rfam by way of RNAcentral.